GAUGAACGCUGGCGGCGCAUUUAAGACAUGCAAGUCGAACGAAGAAUUUUCACCGAACUGAAAUGAAGAUUUAUCGGAUUGGAUGUUCACCGAAAAUUCUUAGUGGCGGACGGGUGAGUAAUACAUAGGUAAUCUGCCUUUCAGAGGGAAAUAACAAGAGGAAACUUUUGCUAAUGUCCCAUAAGACCACAAUAUGGCAUCAUAAAGUGAUCAAAGGAGUAAUCCGCUGAAAGAUGAGCCUGUGGCUGAUUAGCCAGUUGGCGGGGUAAUGGCCCACCAAAGCUAUGAUCAGUAGCCGAGCUGAGAGGCUGGCCGGCCACAUUGGGACUGAGACACGGCCCAGACUCC
Molecule: ribosomal RNA, 348 nt
Filed under: uncultured Oscillospiraceae bacterium
Lineage: Bacteria; Bacillati; Bacillota; Clostridia; Eubacteriales; Oscillospiraceae
Description: bacterial SSU rRNA
Rfam family: Bacterial small subunit ribosomal RNA
Source: RNAcentral